This 439-nucleotide ribosomal RNA is filed under the name uncultured bacterium. RNAcentral's name for it is "partial 16S ribosomal RNA". It matches the Rfam family "Bacterial small subunit ribosomal RNA", at positions 338 to 795 of the family's 1533-position model. The record is from RNAcentral.
CCUACGGGAGGCAGCAGUGGGGGAUAUUGCACAAUGGAGGAAACUCUGAUGCAGCGACGCCGCGUGAGGGAAGACGGUCUUCGGAUUGUAAAGCUCUGUCUUUGGGGAAGAAAAUGACAGUAACCAACGAGGAAGCUCCGGCUAACUACGUGCCAGAAGCCGCGGUAAUACGUAGGGAGAGAGAGUUGUCCGGAAUUACUGGGUGAAAAGGUAGCGUAGGCGGGCGAGAGAGUUGAAUGUUAAAUCUACCGGCUUAACUGGUAGCUGCGUUCAAAACUUCUUGUCUUGAGUGAAGUAGAGGCAGGUGGAAUUCCGAGUGUAGCGGUGAAAUGCGUAGAUAUUAGGAGGAACACCAGUGGCGAAGGCGGCCUGCUGGGCUUUAACUGACGCUGAGGCUCGAAAGCGUGGGGAGCGAACAGGAUUAGAUACCCUUGUAGUC